Molecule: ribosomal RNA, 399 nt
Filed under: uncultured archaeon
Lineage: Archaea
Description: partial 16S ribosomal RNA
Rfam family: Archaeal small subunit ribosomal RNA (bases 1-199)
Source: RNAcentral
UGAAGCUGGAAUCCCUAGUAAUCGCUUGUCACUAUCGAGCGGUGAAUACGUCCCUGCUCCUUGCACACACCGCCUACCAAGCCACCCAAGUGAGGUCUUAGUGAGGCAGCGCCGAUGGCGUUUUCGAACUAAGGUUUCGCGAGGUGGGCUAAGGUAUAACAAGGUAUCCGUAGGGGAACCUGCGGAUAGAUCACCUCGAUAAUAAAAAGUGUGCGUGGCCAUAUUCGGUACCUGCACAAAUCCUCAAGACUACAAAUUUCUUAUUUUUUCUUUUCAUGCUUAAUCAGCGUGAGCGCUCAAUGCAUAAGGAAAACCUAAUCGUCAACCAGCGUUUUUUAAAUAUCAAUUUAAUACAUAAGCAGUGAAAAGCAUGACUGCACAGCCUAACCGCAAAGAUGC